AGCGGCGGACGGGUGAGUAACGCGUGGAUAACCUGCCUCACACAGGGGGAUAACAGUUAGAAAUGACUGCUAAUACCGCAUAAGCGCACGGUACCGCAUGGUACGGUGUGAAAAACUCCGGUGGUAUGAGAUGGACCCGCGUCUGAUUAGGUAGUUGGUGGGGUAACGGCCUACCAAGCCGACGAUCAGUAGCCGACCUGAGAGGGUGACCGGCCACAUUGGGACUGAGACACGGCCCAA
RNAcentral lists this ribosomal RNA (240 nucleotides) under uncultured bacterium. Its description in RNAcentral is "partial 16S ribosomal RNA". It matches the Rfam family "Bacterial small subunit ribosomal RNA", at positions 94 to 334 of the family's 1533-position model. The record is from RNAcentral.